AACGUAGGAGCCUAGCGUUAUCCGAAUUCACUGGGCGUAAAGCGCGUGCAGGCGGUUCGGUAAGUUGGAUGUGAAAUCCCCUGGCUCAACUGGGAGAGGACGUUCAAGACUGUCGGACUAGAGGACGGUAGAGGAAGGUAGAAUUCCCGGUGUAGUGGUGAAAUGCGUAGAUAUCGGGAGGAAUACCAGUGGCGAAGGCGGCCUUCUGGGCCGUUCCUGACGCUCAGACGCGAAAGCUAGGGGAGCAAACGGG
Molecule: ribosomal RNA, 253 nt
Filed under: uncultured bacterium
Lineage: Bacteria
Description: partial 16S ribosomal RNA
Rfam family: Bacterial small subunit ribosomal RNA
Source: RNAcentral